Molecule: long non-coding RNA, 483 nt
Filed under: Mytilus galloprovincialis (Mediterranean mussel)
Lineage: Eukaryota; Metazoa; Mollusca; Bivalvia; Mytilida; Mytilidae
Source: RNAcentral
AAAUGCACUUCUGAUGUAUUAAAAUUUUAAACUUGUUGCCUUUUGUUAGCUAUUAUUCGUGUGUUUCUUUGUCAAUUGUGUUCUCCUAUUUAUUUAUAUUGUAGUCCUGUAAUGUUGUGUUGUAAUUUUAAUGUUAUAUUUCACAUGGCCAUAAAAGAGGGAGGUUUGGCAUGCCACAAAACCAGGUUCAACCCACCAUUUUUUCCUUUAAAAAUGUCCUGCACCAAGUCAGGAAUAUGGCCAUUGUUAUAUUAUAGUUCGUUUCUGUGUGUGUUACAUUUUAACGCUGUGUUUCCGUUGUGUCGUUUGUUUUCUCUUAUUUUUGAGUGUGAAUUCACAUUACUAUAAGACGUGUCACGGUACUUAUCUAUCCCAAAUUCAUGUAUUUGGUUUUGAUGUUAUAUUUGUUAUUCUCAUAAGAUUUUGUCUAAUGCUUAGUCCGUUUCUGUCUGUGUUACAUUUUAAUGUUGUGUCGUUGUUCUC